Helianthus annuus (common sunflower) is the source of this 1277-nucleotide long non-coding RNA. RefSeq lists it as uncharacterized. The transcript has 6 exons. The record is from RefSeq and is a predicted model, not a curated record. Lineage: Eukaryota; Viridiplantae; Streptophyta; Magnoliopsida; Asterales; Asteraceae.
CGCAGAUAAAAACUGAGAGAGAAGUGAAGGCGGCAAAAGGGAGAUAUAGAGAAAGGGGGGCGUGAAAAAUCAUCGUCACUAGUCAAGCUCUGUCGCUGACCCACAGAUCCCAUUUUCUCAUCCCACCGACUUCUUCUCUGGCCACUCAAUCCGCCUCUUUCACCGUCAUUGGAGCUUGAAUCGCGGUUGAUUUUAUGCCUCACAAUGAGGCUGAUCAAGUAGAUUACAUGGCAGAAUAAGGGCGCAUGUCGGAUUUUGUAGAGAAUGUGGAAGAGGAAGAAAACGUCGGUGGAGAUAGAUUAUUACUAUAUGACAAAGGUGAUGGAUACGUUCUAUGAUCAAGCGAGAAGUGGGAAGGAUGUUCAAGUCAUACCAUGGGGCAAAUUUAAUAUAAUAAGCGAGAGUUAUAGACGAACUUGAUUCGAACAAUACAAGAAGUAUGAGAAUAUUCUCGUGUCGGGUGAUGCAGUUAAUAAGGUGAUGAUAGAUGUUCGCUGAUGGGAGUUGGUGGGAUUUUGUGAGGAUUGAGAUCACUAGACAACCCGAUUGUAUGUUCGUCUAUGGCUCCAUGGACUCUAGCGAGAUUUAAGAUCCCUUGACAGUUGUACAUCUUGGUAAUCGAUAGUAAUCGUCAGACAUUUACUUCACGCUUGUACAUGGUUUGAGCUCUGUGAUACACUGUAGUGUUACAUCCUGGAUAAGUUUUUUUGGACAUGUUGGCAUCCCUGAGCUAUCUCAUGAAGCAUCAUGAAGCAUCAGGCAUUUACAUCUGGUGCUUAACACAAAACCCUGAAUGUUACAAGCAAUGGUGGAGUUUGUUUUACGCUUGAGGAUAUGCUAGAUGGUUUGUGACUUUGCUUUCGGAAAAUUCUACAUUGAAUAUACAUUAUCUGGUUCAGUUGUGCAAAUGGGCUUUCUAGCAGCUUUUAAGAGAUACAAACCCUCAAAAGGAGCUACGGAUGCUCAAGAUCCACCCAAAAGCAUUGAACUUUCUGCAGAUCAAGUUAAAUUGUCAUAUGACUGGAUUACGAAUAGAGCCAAAGGUUUGGAUAUAACAUGGUGCAGCAGCCGGAGACAUUUCAACAUUAAUGUUAGGCGAACUAUGUUUUUUCUGUUUGGUCAUGUAUUUUAUUUUUUUCUGUAGCCUGUAUCAAUAUCAUGCCGAUGUAGUAUCUUGCUAUGUCGGUGGUUUCACUUUGUUGAUAAUAAUAGUCUCCGUUGCCUUUAAAAAAAUAUAGAUGUAAAUUACCUUAUCUAUUUUUAAACAAUUUGUAUCA